Long non-coding RNA from Bombyx mori (domestic silkworm), 1183 nucleotides. RefSeq lists it as uncharacterized. The record is from RefSeq and is a predicted model, not a curated record. The transcript is spliced from 2 exons. NCBI's taxonomy places the organism in Eukaryota, Metazoa, Arthropoda, Insecta, Lepidoptera, Bombycidae.
UAAAGUUAAUAAAUUGGCAGAUAGACGAAAAGGACUAAUUGGAAUAUACAAGUUUGUCCAAAAAUGAUUUUUUGUUUGUUUUAAUUACAUAAACAUUUUUUACAAGUAAACAAUACGUAAAAGUUCAAAUUUGUGUGCCGGAGCCAAAAAAUAAAGAAGAAGAAGAUGAUCAAAUUGUUUAGUCGGGGACUUUUUGAAGGGAAAUGCGAGAAUAGUUAGUGAAUUAAGUGUCUUUUUCUUUAACUGUGUAAUAAUGGCAGCUUAUUAACCACUUAGUGUCCAUGAAUGUGCGUCAGUGUGGGAAAAUAAAAUAAAAUCGCUGGACGUUUAAAAAGGUUACCUUUAAUUUCAAAGAAAUUUUCACCAUUUUACUGAGAGUACUUUUUAUUUUUUAUCUUAUCCAAAAUCUAUUAUUAAGUGUUAUCUCAUCUCACCAUCCUGCCGUUAAUUCCAUUUCAUUUAACUCUGUGUCACUUUUAGACUAUAAUAGAAUAUAAUAGAAAUUAUGUAGUCGCUACAAUAAUUUUAAAUUAAAAACAUGUUUAUUUGUUGUCUAAAUUAAACGUCUAAAUUAGAAGAUAAAAAACUAAUUUAGAUGGAAACUAUCUUUCAUAAAGUUCAUACAGUUUUAAUGCAAUUUUAGAUUAUAUUUCAGACAUGGCUUCGCUAAAUGCUUUAAAAAAAAAAAUUUAGAGAACAACGUGCACUGUGGUAAGAAACAGAUUUUACAGUUACAUAAAUAAUACACUUAUAAUAAAGUUUACAACUUGCAGGCCAUGUUUAAAUAUUAGGUAGUGUAUAACAUACCUACAUAUUUAUGGCCACUUUUGAGCAAUAAAGCUAAAUUACUUUUGACGGGAACGCGAGGAGUGAAGUUGUGUGAUUUGUUUUAUUUAGUCUAUUUAGUGCUUCGUCAGGUUUAAAUAUGUAAUAACGGUGGUUUAUUAAUUGUUUAAUAUCUGUGAAAGUGCACAAAUGUGGAACAAUGAAACAAAGCCGCCAGCCGUAGCUUCUCGGGAUCUUCCAAAAAGUCUGAGGGAGUCCGUAUAGAGUCCCUUCUUUAUUUCGCCGUAAAAUCGUGUUCUAUGUAAUUAGCACCACAUUUGAAACAAUAAGAGUUUUGUUGUUGUAACGGCAUAAAUAAUUCUAAGAUAUUAUAUUAAAUUAGUUAUUAUACACCUUA